CCUACGGGAGGCAGCAGUAGGGAAUUUUCGUCAAUGGGCGCAAGCCUGAACGAGCAAUGCCGCGUGAACGAGGACGGUCUUCUGAUCGUAAAGUUCUGUUGAAGGGGAGAAAGAUCGGAGAGAGGAAAUGCUUUCUGAUUGAUAUUACCCUUCGGGGAAGUCACGGCUAACUACGUGCCAGCAGCCGCGGUAAUACGUAGGUGGCGAGCGUUAUCCGGAAUGAUUGGGCGUAAAGGGUGCGUAGGCGGCCUGCUAAGUCUGGAGUGAAAGGUACCGGCUCAACCGGUACAGGGUCUGGGAACGGACGGGCUAGAGAGCAGGAGAGGGCGGUGGAACUGUAUGUGUAGCCGUAAAAGGCGAAGAUAUAUGGAAGAACACCAGUGGCGAAGGCGGGCGCAUGGCCUGUUAACUGACGCUGAGGCACGAAAGCGUGGGGAGCAAAUAGGAUUAGAUACCCCGGUAGUC
RNAcentral lists this ribosomal RNA (465 nucleotides) under uncultured bacterium. Its description in RNAcentral is "partial 16S ribosomal RNA". It matches the Rfam family "Bacterial small subunit ribosomal RNA", at positions 338 to 795 of the family's 1533-position model. The record is from RNAcentral.